CCUACGGGUGGCAGCAGUGAGGAAUAUUGGUCAAUGGACGAGAGUCUGAACCAGCCAAGUAGCGUGAAGGAUGACUGCCCUAUGGGUUGUAAACUUCUUUUAUAUAGGAAUAAAAUGUUCCACGUGUGCGUUUUUGUAUGUACUUUAUGAAUAAGGAUCGGCUAACUCCGUGACAGCAGCCGCGGUAAUACGGAGGAUCCGAGCGUUAUCCGGAUUUAUUGGGUUUAAAGGGAGGGGAGGUGGGUUGUUAAGUCAGUUGUGAAAGUUUGCGGCUCAACCGUAAAAUUGCAGUUGAUACUGGCAGUCGUGAGUACAGUAGAGGUAGGCGGAAUUCGUGGUGUAGCGGUGAAAUGCUUAGAUAUCACGAAGAACUCCGAUUGCGAAGGCAGCUCACUAGACUGCGACUGACACUGAGGCUCGAAAGUGUGGGUAUCAAACAGGAUUAGAUACCCCUGUAGUC
RNAcentral lists this ribosomal RNA (460 nucleotides) under uncultured bacterium. Its description in RNAcentral is "partial 16S ribosomal RNA". It matches the Rfam family "Bacterial small subunit ribosomal RNA", at positions 338 to 795 of the family's 1533-position model. The record is from RNAcentral.